Molecule: ribosomal RNA, 468 nt
Filed under: uncultured bacterium
Lineage: Bacteria
Description: partial 16S ribosomal RNA
Rfam family: Bacterial small subunit ribosomal RNA
Source: RNAcentral
GACGAACGCUGGCGGCGUGCUUAACACAUGCAAGUCGAACGGAAAGGCCCUGCUUGUGUGGGGUGCUCGAGUGGCGAACGGGUGAGUAACACGUGAGUAACCUGCCCUUGACUUUGGGAUAACUUCAGGAAACUGGGGCUAAUACCGGAUAGGAGCUCCUGCUGCAUGGUGGGGGUUGGAAAGUUUCGGCGGAUGGGGAUGGACUCGCGGCUUAUCAGCUUGUUGGUGGGGUAGUGGCUUACCAAGGCUUUGACGGGUAGCCGGCCUGAGAGGGUGACCGGCCACAUUGGGACUGAGAUACGGACCAGACUCGUACGGGAGGCAGCAGUGGGGAAUAUUGCACAAUGGGCGGAAGCGUGAUGCAGCAACGCCGCGUGCGGGAUGACGGCCUUCGGGUUGUAAACCGCUUUCGCCUGUGACGAAGCGUGAGUGACGGUAACGGGUAAAGAAGCACCGGCUAACUACGUG